AUUCUUGGUCAUUUUAGAGGAAGUAAAAGUCGUAACAAGGUUUCCGUAGGUGAACCUGCGGAAGGAUCUAGAGAGGUGUUUUCCGUGCUGGACCGUGUACAAGUCUCCUGGUACCUACCUCUGUUGCUUUGGCGGGCCGCGGUCCUCCGCGGCCGCCCCCCUCCCCGGGGGGGUGGCCAGCGCCCGCCAGAGGACCAUCAAACUCCAGUCAGUAAACGAUGCAGUCUGAAAAACAUUUAAUAAACUAAAACUUUCAACAACGGAUCUCUUGGUUCUGGCAUCGAUGAAGAACGCAGCGAAAUGCGAUAAGUAAUGUGAAUUGCAGAAUUCAGUGAAUCAUCGAAUCUUUGAACGCACAUUGCGCCCUUUGGUAUUCCGAAGGGCAUGCCUGUUCGAGCGUCAUUACAACCCUCAAGCUCUGCUUGGUAUUGGGCACCGUCCUUUGCGGGCGCGCCUCAAAGACCUCGGCGGUGGCGUCUUGCCUCAAGCGUAGUAGAACAUACAUCUCGCUUCGGAGCGCAGGGCGUCGCCCGCCGGACGAACCUUUUGAACUUUUCUCAAGGUUGACCUCGGAUCAGGUAGGGAUACCCGCUGAACUUAAGCAUAUCAAUAAGCGGAGGAAAU
This 624-nucleotide small RNA is filed under the name uncultured Ascomycota. Its description in RNAcentral is "eukaryotic LSU rRNA". The stretch from base 249 to 402 matches the Rfam family "5.8S ribosomal RNA". The record is from RNAcentral. Lineage: Eukaryota; Fungi; Ascomycota.